This 798-nucleotide ribosomal RNA is filed under the name uncultured Glomeromycotina. RNAcentral describes it as "SSU rRNA". It matches the Rfam family "Eukaryotic small subunit ribosomal RNA", at positions 314 to 1114 of the family's 1831-position model. The record is from RNAcentral. Lineage: Eukaryota; Fungi; Glomeromycota.
AUCAACUUUCGAUGGUAGGAUAGAGGCCUACCAUGGUGGUAACGGGUAACGGGGUGUUAGGGCACGACACCGGAGAGGGAGCCUGAGAAACGGCUACCACAUCCAAGGAUGGCAGCAGGCGCGCAAAUUACCCAAUCCCGACACGGGGAGGUAGUGACAAUAAAUAACAAUACGGGGUUCUUUCGGAUCUCGUAAUUGGAAUGAGUACAAUUUAAAUCUCUUAACGAGGAACAAUUGGAGGGCAAGUCCGGUGCCAGCAGCCGCGGUAAUUCCAGCUCCAAUAGCGUAUAUUAAAGUUGUUGCAGUUAAAAAGCUCGUAGUUGAAUUUCGGGAUCAAUAUGUUGGUCGUGCCUUGGUACGUACUGGCAUUAUCGAUUCCUACCUUCUGAAGAACCUCGAUGUCAUUAAUUUGGUGUCUUGGGGAAUCAGGACUGUUACUUUGAAAAAAUUAGAGUGUUUAAAGCAGGCUCGCGCUUGAAUACAUUAGCAUGGAAUAAUGAAAUAGGACGUUUGAUUCUAUUUUGUUGGUUUCUAGGAUCGACGUAAUGAUUAAUAGGGAUAGUUGGGGGCAUUAGUAUUCAAUUGUCAGAGGUGAAAUUCUUGGAUUUAUUGAAGACUAACUACUGCGAAAGCAUUUGCCAAGGAUGUUUUCAUUAAUCAAGAACGAAAGUUAGGGGAUCGAAGACGAUCAGAUACCGUCGUAGUCUUAACCAUAAACUAUGCCGACUAGGGAUCGGAUGAUGUUAAUUUUUUAAUGACUCAUUCGGCGCCUUACGGGAAACCAAAGUGUUUGGGUUC